RNAcentral lists this ribosomal RNA (384 nucleotides) under uncultured bacterium. Its description in RNAcentral is "bacterial SSU rRNA". It matches the Rfam family "Bacterial small subunit ribosomal RNA", at positions 28 to 412 of the family's 1533-position model. The record is from RNAcentral.
GACGAACGCUGGCGGCGUGCUUAACACAUGCAAGUCGAGCGGGUAAGGCCCUUUCGGGGGUACACGAGCGGCGAACGGGUGAGUAACACGUGGGUGACCUGCCCUCAGCUCUGGGGAUAAGCCUGGGAAACUGGGUCUAAUACUGGAUAUGACUCCACGGUGCAUGUCGUGGGGUGGAAAGCCUUGUGCGGCUGAGGAUGGGGCCCGCGGCCCUAUCAGCUUGUUGGUGGGGGAUGGCCUACCAAGGCGACGACGGGUAGCCGGCCUGAGAGGGCGACCGGCCACACUGGGACUGAGACACGGCCAGACUCCUACGGGAGGCAGCAGUGGGGAAUCUUGCGCAAUGGGCGAAAGCCUGACGCAGCGACGCCGCGUGAGGAUGAC